Non-coding RNA from Physcomitrium patens, 1753 nucleotides. Lineage: Eukaryota; Viridiplantae; Streptophyta; Bryopsida; Funariales; Funariaceae. The record is from RefSeq and is a predicted model, not a curated record.
ACCUCGAAGCGGCUCAUGCCACGACAGCGUCAGUUGUUUGCCGGCAUUGCCACCCAGAGUGUUUAGUUACUUUGUGCCUGUUCCCAAUGGCUGCUCGGUGGUUCUGCUGAUAUUACGGGCAUGACAGUGCUUGGCAACGCAGAUGGCGACUUCGUUCACUAUGGAGGCUGAGGUUCUUGGUGGUUGAGGGAUGCUUAGGAAAGCAGAAGACAAAGAAGAAGAUGAUUGUUUGGCCAUAAUCACGUGUGUGUACAAGUUCCAGUUCAGAUUGUAAGAAGAAAAGCCUUUACGAUCGGAUCCUUGCCUUCUUGUGAGAUUGCAUACAACUUAGGAGACUUUGCCGGUUGCGAAUAUCUAGACCUCGAUGAAGUCAAUCCAUCAGUGAUAUCACCAGUGAAAACUCACAUGAUCGGACCUGAAGGCUCGAGUUUUGAAUUUGAAGCCAGUUAAACAUCAGCAUUGUGUUGUUUAAUAUCAAGGAUGGGCAACGAACUCAUGUAUCUACUGCUGGAGCAUGGCUUCCGGAUCGUUCGCCAUCUUACAUUCUUCCCAUACGGCAGGUGGUUUUAUUCGUCAUUCUUUGUUCACUGAAGAUGGACUGAAACUUUGCCUGUCAUGCUCGAACCAUAUAAUCAACAACCACCUUUUUGUUCUCCAGAUCUUGUUCAAGCGUCAACAUGUAGCUGAUGUUAGUACAGUCGUGUGAAAUCAGAUUGAGUAGAGUUUUAAGGUCUUCUAUGUCUCAGUAUUCGCGAGGCACAACACCAUAGACUGUUGGAACCAAAUUUGAUAAGUUCCUGGGUAUACAUUCGUUUGAUAUGCUCGUGGGAGUAACGAGUAAUCAGCCAAGGAUUAUCCUAGAGUAUUUGAAGUGCUAGGUUGUCCACGCGUUGCACGAACUGUAAGUAUAAACAUUUAUCUCACCGCCCUUCAAAUAUCAUGACUUCUCUAUUGGACAUCGAAAUUCUAUUUGACUGAGCUCAAUUUUGCUGCCGCAAUUUCCUUUGUAGCUGGGUUGCGCAACAUCUGGAAUGCACGAUGUCUUGAAAAAGUCGUAGUUGGGGCGUUUCAAAAAUUAACUUAGACUCAUUCAAAACCUUGAGGGAACUCCUUCCACAGCAGCCUAUUUUAGGUCAUUUUAACCUUAGGGUUACUGUAAGAGGCAGUCAUGUUCUCGCUGAUUUGUAGGUGGGGCAUUGAUCAAACUCGCUUUUAAACCCCGCAAGAUAUCAAUCACAUCUUUGAAUAUCGAUUGUGGUUUCAAUUUUUGGAGUAACGUGUUAUUUUUGUCUUUGAGUGAAGAAUUGAAACAAAACAAGGCUAAACGGGACUUGAGCAUCUUAAAUGGUCUGAAGGCUUGUACAUGACAAUAACUUACGAGUUUGAGAUGCAAGCUUGUUUUUGAGUAGCAAGAAUGCUAGAAAAAAUCUUCAAGAAUAAACGUUGGUGUGUUUCACUUGAACAUGGCCUGAAAUGACACGAUUACACAUGAGUUUUGGAAACGUAUCCGUGGGCGUUUUGGAAACGUAUUCUGACUUUCUAAACUCAAAGAUCCUCUCAAAAGCUCCAGGAGCAGAAUUGUGUAGAAUGCGAAGAGACUAGUGAUGAAUAAGCUGAUGGCCCAAGGAUACAAGUGCUAAGAAAUAUUGAACAUGGGCAUAAAUCCUGGUGUAGUCAUUUUAAACUCACUUCGUUAUAAAACAGAAUUUGAGAAGUUGAAUCUGGCACCAAUAGCAGUUGUUAAAAUACAGUU